CAUACAGAGGAAACAAGUAUUAAAGGAGGAAGCAAGGAGAAGGAACUGUCCAGAGGGAUUUGCAUUCCUCACUUAUUCAAGGCAUGCUCUGGCAGUAAGGUGUUACCCAGAAACAAGAUGCUCUUCAAGCAUCCUUGGGACACUGGCAAGGUUCCCUUAGGAUGGAGCGAUACAGAGUAGAGUAUCAGAACAAAACAACAGAAAUCAAAGCCAAAAAUAAAACCUGAGACAUAUACAUGUCUGCGUCUAUUAUGCAUGAUCAGCAAGAUGUUCUUGAAUACAUAACAGGUUGUUCUUGGAUGCCAUGUAUUUAGCAUUGCAUAUUACUAAAGAGGAUAAGCUUCGGUGUAUUCAUAAUUUUCUGGACCUGGAAGAAACAGCACCAGUGAUAUUUACUGCGCUGUUACUGCUGUGCUUAUGGAAAAAAACAGCCUUUGGUCAUAAGGAAAGAAAAGAAAGAAGCUAUGAAGAUUACUGUCACUGCAUGGAGAGCAGGAUAAAAAGGUAUGAAGAAGCAGGCACUGAAUUUCGUGUAAGAACUGAGAGACAGCACCUACUCUGGAGAGCUCCUAUAUCUGCAAUGCAAAGGAAUAAUAUGAUCUUAACCGUGUAAAAUAGAGCCUUGAGAGCAAGACUGUAAAAAGCUGUGAUUAGAAAGAGCAAUAACAGGGCAGAAAAGAUAACUGACCACAAAGAGUAUAGCUUAGGAAAGAGGAAGAAGCAAGAUUAAACACUAACUAGGAACCUAUUUUUGGAAGAUACUGUCAGAAAUGAUUGCCACCAUUUUGCUUAGGAGAAGCAGCUUAGAAACGGCUGGUAAGUGUAAGGUAAGAGUCACGGAAGUGUAUGAUGUGGCUUAAAAAUACGCUUUUCAUCAAUAUGAUACUAACAAGAAAGGGUGGGAGGCAGAAAGAGGUAAGGCAGGAGGAAACAGACUGUGGUUCUUUUAUUUGCUUAAAGGAUGUAGGGAUCCUAAUUAAAUAAUCACCCUUGAUUUGCAUUGAGCAAUAAUGACGUUUUCUUCCCCUGGCACUGAAGUGUGUUUUACAGUUUCAGCAGCACUCUGUGUUUAAAUCCUAUUAUUGCCUACCAGAGUAAACAAGAGGUUUAACACGAUUAUUUGGGAUGUUCCACUUAUUUAAAGCUGGAUUUGUUACUGCAUCUAUCAAUAGGUUCAGCAUUUUCUUAGACUGCAAGAUAGACAGUAAGCAUCUGUUUGCCUUUCUCUAAUGCUUAGGGUGCUGUUUCAUGAAAAUUAUGUGGGGAUUAGGGAGAAAUUUUCUCAGAAUAUUUUUAAAGGCCUAUUUCCAAAGAUACUAUUCUUGAGAGUUACAGCUUUUGGAAACUAAGGGAUCAUGAAAACAACAACUAAACCUUGUACAGAAGUUUAGG
RNAcentral lists this long non-coding RNA (1392 nucleotides) under Struthio camelus australis. RNAcentral describes it as "lncRNA (ENSSCUG00000017090.1)". Lineage: Eukaryota; Metazoa; Chordata; Aves; Struthioniformes; Struthionidae. The record is from RNAcentral.